UUGUAUACCUCAAUUAGAUUCU
Molecule: microRNA, 22 nt
Filed under: Callorhinchus milii (elephant shark)
Lineage: Eukaryota; Metazoa; Chordata; Chondrichthyes; Chimaeriformes; Callorhinchidae
Description: eshark_NOVEL_65
Source: RNAcentral